UCAAAACCCAUAACACACAACUGAGUUAAACUAUACUAAUAGUUAAAUCAAUACUAGAAUUAGUAAUAAGAAAACAUGAUUUUCUCCAUGCGAACCCGUAAAUCAGACCGAACUGCCACUGAUAAUAACCGACCCUAUUUUAAUGGAAGUACAACAGUAAUAGUAAACAAGAAAAACAUUAAAUACAAAAUCGUCAACCCUACACAGGCUCGCAAUUAACGAAAGACAAAAGGACAAAGAAGGAAUUCAGCAAACAUUUAGACCUCGCCUGUUUACCAAAAACAUCGCCUCUAGCUAAGACUAAUAUUAGAGGUACUGCCUGCCCAGUGAUAAUAAUUCAACGGCCGCGUAUUUUGACCGUGCAAAGGUAGCAUAAUCACUUGUCUUCUAAAUAAAGACUAGUAUGAACGGCAAAACGAAGGUCCAACUGUCUCCUUUGCCCACUCAAUGAAAUUGAUCUCCCAGUACAAAAGCUGUGAUUAAACAACAAGACGAGAAGACCCUAUGGAGCUUUAAACACACCAGAAAGUGUAACCAAUAUUUAUUUAAUCCCGCACACCAAUUCUACACUGUUUUUGGUUGGGGCGACCACGGARAUAUCCACCCUCCGAGAUGACACACCAGGAAGACAUUCCUAAAUCUCAGAAAACUGGCAUAAUUGACCCAAUAAAUUGAUCAACGAACCAAGUUACCCUAGGGAUAACAGCGCAAUCCUCUUUAAGAGCCCAUAUCGACAAGAGGGCUUACGACCUCGAUGUUGGAUCAGGAUAACCUGACAGU
RNAcentral lists this ribosomal RNA (780 nucleotides) under Ichthyophis tricolor (three-colored caecilian). Its description in RNAcentral is "partial 16S large subunit ribosomal RNA". It matches the Rfam family "Bacterial large subunit ribosomal RNA", at positions 1432 to 2554 of the family's 2925-position model. Lineage: Eukaryota; Metazoa; Chordata; Amphibia; Gymnophiona; Ichthyophiidae. The record is from RNAcentral.